CAGUCGCCGCGGUAAUACAGAGGGUGCGAGCGUUAAUCGGAUUUACUGGGCGUAAAGCGUGCGUAGGCGGCUUCUUAAGUCGGAUGUGAAAUCCCUGAGCUUAACUUGGGAAUUGCAUUCGAUACUGGGAAGCUAGAGUAUGGGAGAGGAUGGUAGAAUUCCAGGUGUAGCGGUGAAAUGCGUAGAGAUCUGGAGGAAUACCGAUGGCGAAGGCAGCCAUCUGGCCUAAUACUGACGCUGAGGUACGAAAGCAUGGGGAGCAAACAGGAUUAGAUACCCGAGUAGUCCCUGUCUCUUAUAC
Molecule: ribosomal RNA, 301 nt
Filed under: uncultured bacterium
Lineage: Bacteria
Description: partial 16S ribosomal RNA
Rfam family: Bacterial small subunit ribosomal RNA
Source: RNAcentral